CAGCAGCCGCGGGAAUACGUAAGGUGCAAGCGUUAAUCGGAAUUACUGGGCGUAAAGCGUGCGCAGGCGGUUUCGUAAGACAGAUGUGAAAUCCCCGGGCUUAACCUGGGAACUGCAUUUGUGACUGCGAGGCUAGAGUGUGUCAGAGGGGGGUGGAAUUCCACGUGUAGCAGUGAAAUGCGUAGAUAUGUGGAGGAACACCGAUGGCGAAGGCAGCCCCCUGGGAUAACACUGACGCUCAUGCACGAAAGCGUGGGGAGCAAACAGGAUUAGAUACCCGCGUAGUCCCUGUCUCUUAUAC
RNAcentral lists this ribosomal RNA (301 nucleotides) under uncultured bacterium. Its description in RNAcentral is "partial 16S ribosomal RNA". It matches the Rfam family "Bacterial small subunit ribosomal RNA", at positions 509 to 807 of the family's 1533-position model. The record is from RNAcentral.